CCUACGGGGGGCAGCAGUGGGGAAUAUUGCGCAAUGGGCGAAAGCCUGACGCAGCGACGCCGCGUGAGGGAUGAAGGUCUUCGGAUCGUAAACCUCUUUCAGCAGGGAAGAACGGUCACUGUGCUAAUCAGCAGUGAAUUGACGGUACCUGCAAAGGAAGCACCGGCUAACUCCGUGCCAGCAGCCGCGGUAAUACGGAGGGUGCGAGCGUUAAUCGGAAUUACUGGGCGUAAAGCGCUCGUAGGCGGUAGGUCAAGUCAAGGGUGAAAUCCCCGCGCUCAACGUGGGAACUGCCUUUGAAACUGGCAAGCUGGAGUGUGGGAGAGGAUAGUGGAAUUCCAGGUGUAGGAGUGAAAUGCGUAGAUAUCGGGAAGAACAUCAGUGGCGAAGGCGACUAACUGGCACAUAACUGACGCUGAGGAGCGAAAGCGUGGGUAGCAAACAGGAUUAGAUACCCUUGUAGUC
This 465-nucleotide ribosomal RNA is filed under the name uncultured bacterium. Its description in RNAcentral is "partial 16S ribosomal RNA". It matches the Rfam family "Bacterial small subunit ribosomal RNA", at positions 338 to 795 of the family's 1533-position model. The record is from RNAcentral.